GUAGGGAAUAUUGCACAAUGGAGGAAACUCUGAUGCAGCGACGCCGCGUGAGUGAUGAAGGCCUUCGGGUCGUAAAGCUCUGUCGCAGGGGAAUAACACAAUGAAGGUACCCUGUAAGAAAGGAUCGGCUAACUUCGUGCCAGCAGCCGCGGUAAGACGAGGGAUCCUAGCGUUGUUCGGAAUCAUUGGGCGUAAAGCGGAUGUAGGUGGCUAUGUAAGUCAGAUGUGAAAGCCUGGUGCUCAACACCAGAAGUGCAUUUGAUACUGCGUAGCUUGAGUGUCGGAGAGGUUACUAGAAUUGUUGGUGUAGUGGUGAAAUACGUAGAUAUCAACAGGAAUACCGGAGGCGAAGGCGGGUAACUGGCCGAACACUGACACUGAGAUCCGAAAGCGUGGGGAUCAAACAGGAUUAGAAACCCCUGUAGUCC
RNAcentral lists this ribosomal RNA (428 nucleotides) under uncultured bacterium. RNAcentral describes it as "bacterial SSU rRNA". It matches the Rfam family "Bacterial small subunit ribosomal RNA", at positions 354 to 796 of the family's 1533-position model. The record is from RNAcentral.